UCAAAACAUUGGUUCCCGUACAAUCACUGAAGUUAAGCAAUGUCGAGCCUGUUCAGCACCUUAAUGAGUGACCACUUGGGAAGACCAGGGGCU
Acanthosepion pharaonis is the source of this 93-nucleotide non-coding RNA. NCBI's taxonomy places the organism in Eukaryota, Metazoa, Mollusca, Cephalopoda, Sepiida, Sepiidae. The record is from the annotation of a GenBank genome assembly.